UACAGAGGGUGCGAACGUUGUUCGGAAUUACUGGGCGUAAAGCGCGUGUAGGCUGUUCGGAAAGUCGGGUGUGAAAGCCCUGGGCUCAACCUAGGAAGUGCACUCGAAACUCCCGAACUGGAGUCCCGGAGAGGAAGGUGGAAUUCUCGGUGUAGAGGUGAAAUUCGUAGAUAUCGAGAGGAACAUCGGUGGCGAAGGCGGCCUUCUGGACGGUGACUGACGCUGAGACGCGAAAGCGUGGGGAGCAAACAGG
RNAcentral lists this ribosomal RNA (253 nucleotides) under uncultured bacterium. Its description in RNAcentral is "partial 16S ribosomal RNA". It matches the Rfam family "Bacterial small subunit ribosomal RNA", at positions 524 to 776 of the family's 1533-position model. The record is from RNAcentral.